Molecule: non-coding RNA, 832 nt
Organism: Phascolarctos cinereus (koala)
Lineage: Eukaryota; Metazoa; Chordata; Mammalia; Diprotodontia; Phascolarctidae
Source: RefSeq, a predicted model, not a curated record
UUGAACUAAUUCUCCAACAAAUACAUAAAUGGUGAAAAGAGGGAAUAUUUUGUAAGAAUUAUGCGUAGGACAUCUAUACUUGAGGGAAUGUCCUAAAGAGAAUCAGUGUGACCAAGUCACAUGCAUCAAGGGGCAACUCAGACCUCUGAGACAGUAAAGCUGCUGAUGCCAUCAAUUAAUGUCACUGUGCUGCUUUCCUACCAGGCAAUCUUCUCUGCUGCUCUCCACCAGAGAUUACUUUGCAUCUUUGAUGGUCAUAAAUUUCAGCUUUGUUCAUGGUCACCUCAAACCCUGUACAACAUGCAUUAUCUAUGCUUGUAUUUGUGUUCCUCCACCGGCUCAUCUAGCCAUCACCAUCAUCCACUGAGGUAUGCUGUAGUUAAUAAGCCUCUUUGUCUGCAGAUGAGAGGUUACAACUCUUUCAUUUGGCUUCAUCAGUUUGCUGUUUGAGCCUCCUUCUAUGCUUCAGCUCUACUCCUCAGCUGUGGGGCUACCUUCAGAUCCACCUGCAAUUUAACCCUCAUUUGCUGUAGAUGCUAUGCUUAGUAAACUUCUCUUGGGCAGAAAGGACAACAGCCCUCUUCAGCAUGGCUUCUCAGGAUUUAUCAUGUCCCCAGGCUACUGUGAAUGUCCCAAGGAUCUACUUCCUCAAAUAGAAAAGGAAUCGAAGAACACUGUAGUAAUGUAACUGUUUUAAUUGCAUCCCAGUGAACCCUCUGUUGUAGUUAAUGAACAGUAAGCAGAAUAGGAUCUUGUAUGCUCCGUACCAGUGGUCUCCAAACUUUUUGAUGGUACACCCUUAUCAAUAAGAAAAAAUGUUGAGUAUGCACCC